Molecule: transfer RNA, 85 nt
Filed under: Felis catus (domestic cat)
Lineage: Eukaryota; Metazoa; Chordata; Mammalia; Carnivora; Felidae
Also listed under: 2 other names
Rfam family: tRNA
About the family: Transfer RNA (tRNA) molecules are approximately 80 nucleotides in length. Their secondary structure includes four short double-helical elements and three loops (D, anti-codon, and T loops).
Source: Rfam by way of RNAcentral
GCCUGGGUGGCUCAGUCGGUCGAGUGUCUGACUUCGGCUCAGGUCAUGAUCUCACAGUUUGUGGGUUCGAACCCCGCGUCAGGCU